GAUCAUGGCUCAGGAUGAACGCUAGCGGCAGGCUUAACACAUGCAAGUCGAGGGGCAGCACGAGGUAGCAAUACUUUGGUGGCGACCGGCGCACGGGUGCGUAACGCGUAUGCAACCUACCUUUAACAGGGGCAUAACACUGAGAAAUUGGUACUAAUUCCCCAUAACAUUCGAGAAGGCAUCUUCUUGGGUUAAAAACUCCGGUGGUUAAAGAUGGGCAUGCGUUGUAUUAGCUAGUUGGUGGGGUAACGG
This 252-nucleotide ribosomal RNA is filed under the name uncultured bacterium. RNAcentral's name for it is "partial 16S ribosomal RNA". It matches the Rfam family "Bacterial small subunit ribosomal RNA", at positions 15 to 263 of the family's 1533-position model. The record is from RNAcentral.